Molecule: non-coding RNA, 201 nt
Filed under: Veillonella sp.
Lineage: Bacteria; Bacillati; Bacillota; Negativicutes; Veillonellales; Veillonellaceae
Description: T-box sequence
Rfam family: T-box leader
About the family: Uncharged tRNA acts as the effector for transcription antitermination of genes in the T-box leader family. T-boxes are found upstream of many aminoacyl-tRNA synthetase genes and some amino acid biosynthetic genes usually in Gram-positive bacteria.
Source: RNAcentral
GCAAAUGCGAUGAACAGGUAUAAAGAUAUAGUUAGUUGCUUUCAGAGAGCUACUGGUUGGUGCGAAGUAGUAGAACGGUUAUAUUGAAACUCCCCUGUGAGCAGCGAUGGUGAAAUCAAGUAGUCAUCGACGGUAGUUCCGUUAUAACUGUGAGAACCAACUAGGGUGGGACCGUGUUAUUGAAAUGAUAAUGCCCCUUGA